GAUGAACGCUGGCGGCGUGCUUAACACAUGCAAGUCGAACGAUGAAGCCCAGCUUGCUGGGUGGAUUAGUGGCGAACGGGUGAGUAACACGUGAGUAACCUGCCCUUAACUCUGUGAUAAGCCUGUGAAACUGGGUCUAAUACCGGAUAGGAGCGUCCACCGCAUGGUGGGUGUUGGGAAGAUUUAUCGGUUUUGGAUGGACUCGCGGCCUAUCAGCUUGUUGGUGAGGUAAUGGCUCACCAAGGCGACGACGGGUAGCCGGCCUGAGAGGGUGACCGGCCACACUGGGACUGAGACACGGCCCAGACUCCUACGGGAGGCAGCAGUGGGGAAUAUUGCACAAUGGGCGCAAGCCUGAUGCAGCGACGCCGCGUGAGGGAUGACGGCCUUCGGGUUGUAAACCUCUUUCAGUAGGGAAGAAGCGAAAGUGACGGUACCUGCAGAAGAAGCACCGGCUAACUACGUG
This 466-nucleotide ribosomal RNA is filed under the name uncultured bacterium. RNAcentral describes it as "partial 16S ribosomal RNA". It matches the Rfam family "Bacterial small subunit ribosomal RNA", at positions 28 to 507 of the family's 1533-position model. The record is from RNAcentral.